GCCGAGGUGGCGGAACGGCAGACGCAGCGGACUUAAAAUCCGCGGCCCGCAAGGGUGUGUGGGUUCAAAUCCCGCCCUCGGCA
This 83-nucleotide transfer RNA is filed under the name Chloroflexota bacterium. Its description in RNAcentral is "tRNA-Leu". It matches the Rfam family "tRNA". From Rfam's summary of the family: Transfer RNA (tRNA) molecules are approximately 80 nucleotides in length. The record is from RNAcentral. Lineage: Bacteria; Bacillati; Chloroflexota.